Uloborus diversus is the source of this 858-nucleotide long non-coding RNA. RefSeq lists it as uncharacterized. The transcript has 3 exons. Lineage: Eukaryota; Metazoa; Arthropoda; Arachnida; Araneae; Uloboridae. The record is from RefSeq and is a predicted model, not a curated record.
ACUUAACCCAUCGAAUGCAAUUGAGAUAAAUUGCUUAUAAGGCUACAUAAAAAAGAGACACUAUUCCAUUGAACCGAAUAAAUGUUACGACAUCGAGCGCCAAGCUUUCUAGCCCUGGACAAGAAAAAUGUUAAUAUUGACCUCUCCGAAGGCCAGUAGCCGCGGACUUGGGUCAUCGAUUCAAGACUUUGAUCACUUCGAUGUAAUUGAAAUCGAUCACUUUCGCUCUCUUAGCCAGAGGGCAUUAAUGGGUUGAGUAUAUAAAUGGUAGGAUUGACUUUCACUUCGUUGGAUUAGCUCUUUGGUUUUCUUUUCUUUUGGCUUGCUUCGAAGGUCGGAAAAUGAAGGUUCUGGCUUGUUUGCUUUUCUUUGCUCUCGUCUGCAGCUCUUUGGCUAUAAUACAUGUCGACUUAGGACACAGAUACAUCGUUCCAUCCUACAUACACAGUCACGGCUACCACGGACAUAGCUAUGGAAGCCAUCACUAUUACCCGGUCUACUCACAUAGUCACAGCUAUGGAUAUGGACAUCAUCAUCCAGCUUUAAGCAUCGGAUUCGGCAAAUGAGUUACUGAGAGAUAGAAGAAUUAUACAAGAUGCCUCUUUCUUUUCACGCCACUUGAACACUUGUAGAUAAUAACUCAAUUACAUCAAUCAAUCUAUACAAGAGAAGAAAAAAAAUGUCCAAGAGAAAACAAUACGUUGUCAACAACUAUGAAUGCAGACAUUUGAUUCAGCGCAUACUUAUGUUUUCAUCAUUUGUAUGAUGUUCUUUCAUAAAUACAGAAUAAAUAUGUGUUUUUUUUCCCACAUGUUUUGAAGAAUCUUCAGUGCUCUCCAUAUACCUCUUCCAUUAAUA